Amblyraja radiata (thorny skate) is the source of this 75-nucleotide long non-coding RNA. RefSeq lists it as uncharacterized. NCBI's taxonomy places the organism in Eukaryota, Metazoa, Chordata, Chondrichthyes, Rajiformes, Rajidae. The record is from RefSeq and is a predicted model, not a curated record. The transcript has 3 exons.
CCCAGGUCUCGGCUGGGUCAGUAUGAGGCGGCGGAGAGCAGGGACACAUCGGUCUGUGAGGGAGUUGUUUCUCAG